GAUGAACGCUGGCGGCGUGCCUAAUACAUGCAAGUCGAGCGAACGGACGAGAAGCUUGCUUUUCUGAUGUUAGCGGCGGACGGGUGAGUAACACGUGGAUAACCUACCUAUAAGACUGGGAUAACUUCGGGAAACCGGAGCUAAUACCGGAUAAUAUUUUGAACCGCAUGGUUCAAAAGUGAAAGACGGUCUUGCUGUCACUUAUAGAUGGAUCCGCGCUGCAUUAGCUAGUUGGUAAGGUAACGGCUUACCAAGGCAACGAUGCAUAGCCGACCUGAGAGGAUGAUCAGCCACACUGGAACUGAGACACGGUCCAGACUCCUACGGGAGGCAGCAGUGGGGAAUAUUGGACAAUGGGCGAAAGCCUGACGCAGCAAUACCGCGUGGGUGAAGAAGGUCUUCGGGUUGUAAAGCUCUGUUGUUAGGAAAGAAAAUCAGUGUGUGAAACUGUGGAUGUUCUGACGGUACCUAAAGAGUAAGCAACGGCUAACUUCGUG
This 497-nucleotide ribosomal RNA is filed under the name uncultured bacterium. RNAcentral's name for it is "partial 16S ribosomal RNA". It matches the Rfam family "Bacterial small subunit ribosomal RNA", at positions 28 to 507 of the family's 1533-position model. The record is from RNAcentral.